RNAcentral lists this ribosomal RNA (253 nucleotides) under uncultured bacterium. Its description in RNAcentral is "partial 16S ribosomal RNA". It matches the Rfam family "Bacterial small subunit ribosomal RNA", at positions 524 to 776 of the family's 1533-position model. The record is from RNAcentral.
GACGGAGGGGGCUAGCGUUGUUCGGAUUUACUGGGCGUAAAGAGUGCGUAGGCGGUUUAGUAAGUUGGAAGUGAAAGCCCGAGGCUUAACCUCGGAACUGCUUUCAAAACUACUAAUCUAGAGUGUAGUAGGGGAUGAUGGAAUUCCUAGUGUAGAGGUGAAAUUCUUAGAUAUUAGGAGGAACACCGGUGGCGAAGGCGGUCAUCUGGGCUACAACUGACGCUGAUGCACGAAAGCGUGGGGAGCAAACAGG